Molecule: microRNA precursor, 129 nt
Filed under: Chlorocebus sabaeus (green monkey)
Lineage: Eukaryota; Metazoa; Chordata; Mammalia; Primates; Cercopithecidae
Description: miRNA (ENSCSAG00000024785.1)
Source: RNAcentral
CAGAAUGCCCAGUUAAAUUAGACUCAGAUAAACAGUGAAUAAUAUUUUGGUAUAAGUAUAUCCUAUGCAAUACUUGGGACAUACCUAUUCUAAAAAAAAUCAUUCCUUGUUUAUCUGAAAAUUUAACUG